This 339-nucleotide unclassified non-coding RNA is filed under the name Hevea brasiliensis (rubber tree). The record is from RNAcentral. Lineage: Eukaryota; Viridiplantae; Streptophyta; Magnoliopsida; Malpighiales; Euphorbiaceae.
AAACAAAUAAGACCUGAGGCUCAAAAUUAGGUUCCACGCGUGAUUGACUUUGACCACCAAGUGCGCUUCUAAAUCUCCCUGGACCAUCUAGCUUUUUUGAAAAAUAAAGCCUUUGAAGUGCUUGAAUAUCGCAGUUAGGAUGGAGUCCAACCACCACCAUGCUCUCAAAUAGCCUUGAUGGCUCUUUCCAAACUCUAUGAUCCAGGGAUUGCAACUGAAACCUAGCCCACUGACGCUUUUGGCUAGUUAAUAUUUCCGGAUUGUACGCUCCACUUUUAACUUCAGGGGGACUGGAGAAGCCCUUCAUUAAUCUAGUUACUUGACGCUGCAAUUUCUGAA